RNAcentral lists this ribosomal RNA (325 nucleotides) under uncultured Bacillota bacterium. RNAcentral describes it as "bacterial SSU rRNA". It matches the Rfam family "Bacterial small subunit ribosomal RNA", at positions 28 to 351 of the family's 1533-position model. The record is from RNAcentral. Lineage: Bacteria; Bacillati; Bacillota.
GACGAACGCUGGCGGCGUGCCUAACACAUGCAAGUCGAACGGACUGACGUUUUCGGAAUGUCAGUUAGUGGCGGACGGGUGAGUAACGCGUGAGCAACCUGCCUAACAGAGGGGGAUAACGUUUGGAAACAGACGCUAAUACCGCAUAACAUAUACUUUCCGCAUGGGAGGUAUAUCAAAGGAGCAAUCCGCUGAUAGAUGGGCUCGCGUCCGAUUAGAUAGUUGGUGGGGUAAAGGCCUACCAAGUCAGCGAUCGGUAGCCGGACUGAGAGGUUGAACGGCCACAUUGGGACUGAGACACGGCCCAGACUCCUACGGGUGGCUG